CCUACGGGUGGCAGCAGUGGGGAAUAUUGCACAAUGGGGGAAACCCUGAUGCAGCAACGCCGCGUGAGCGAAGAAGGCCUUCGGGUCGUAAAGCUCUGUCCUAAGGGAAGAAGCAUGACGGUACCUUAGGAGGAAGCCCCGGCUAACUACGUGCCAGCAGCCGCGGUGAUACGUAGGGGGCGAGCGUUAUCCGGAAUCACUGGGCGUAAAGGGUGCGUAGGCGGCCGAUUAAGCCAGGGGUGAAAGGCGACGGCUCAACCGUAGUAAGCCCUUGGAACUGAGUGGCUUGAGUGCAGGAGAGGUGAGUGAAAUUCCUAGUGUAGCGGUGAAAUGCGUAGAUAUUAGGAGGAACACCAGUUGCGAAGGCAGUUCCCUGGACUGUAACUGACGCUGAGGCACGAAAGUGUGGGGAGCGAACAGGAUUAGAUACCCGGGUAGUC
Molecule: ribosomal RNA, 440 nt
Filed under: uncultured bacterium
Lineage: Bacteria
Description: bacterial SSU rRNA
Rfam family: Bacterial small subunit ribosomal RNA
Source: RNAcentral